GAGGCUGUGUGUGACAGACUGAUACAAGUGGGUCCUCUGAGAAUCCAGUUGUAGUCCCACAUGAGAUGGAGGCUCAGUCACCUGGUUGGUUUUUCUGGCCCUAAUAAAACAUGUUUCUACAAGUGAUCCUGGAAGUCCCGUUAAAUGUAUGUACAAUAAAAAUCUGAAUAUGGAAAUAUAUUUCAGAAUAUACAUACAUUUACAAAUAGUGGACAAAUGUGUCCUUCCUGCCCCGAGCAACCAAGGCUCCUCGGGUGUAAAUAUGAUUAAUAACCAAACGUACAUGAGAAAUGAGCAUUGGAACAUUAAACUGUGAUAGUAACUAAAGAAUCCAUCUUCAAGAUCAUUUAAGUUGAUGUGUAUUUUGACACUUUAGUUUUGUCCAUGUCCCAUUCAGUAAAAUUCAGGAGGUGAGAUUUAUACCGCAGUAAGGCACCAGGUGGCGAUCUAGAAACUUUGGCUUCACUUUUAGUCGAUGGUUUGAACUAUUCUAGAUCAGUUAUGACUCUAGAGCAGUUUGGCUAAAGCUUCACUCUACAUAGUUUGAAAUAAAAUAAAAGUAUGUGUUCAGCUCCUGACUCAGUCUGCUGUAUGUCCUCGUUCAGCCUGUUUCAGAGCCUCAGGAUCUUGUUUCGAAAGCUUUGUCCCUCAACUUGUCUCAGUACAAUAAAUCGUAUCAGCUGGACUGAUGAGGAGUUUAGGAGCUUCAGUAUAGGAGCUCCCUUUACCACUGAUUGAUUGAUAUUUUGCUCUGCAAAACUUUUACGUUUACAAGAAACCUAUGUUACAUAGACUAGAGGGAACACACAGAGGAGAAGUAUUAACCCUUUAGUGUAACUCUUAGCACGAGAGCAAAUUAGC
Long non-coding RNA from Pleuronectes platessa (European plaice), 861 nucleotides. RefSeq lists it as uncharacterized. Lineage: Eukaryota; Metazoa; Chordata; Actinopteri; Pleuronectiformes; Pleuronectidae. The transcript has 3 exons. The record is from RefSeq and is a predicted model, not a curated record.